GAUAAGUUUUAUUCUUGCUUUGUCGUUCAGUUUUAUGUUUGUUUUAUAUGUAAGUUUUUGCGUGAUUUUUGGUGAUUCUUGAUGGGUCAUUAUGAUUACUUAUUAUUCUCAUUAUUUGUUAUUGGUUGAUCAGGUAGCUUUGUAUUCAGCAAUACAUUUUAGUUUCGGUUAAAUUUUGUGCCAGCAGCCGCGGUUAUACCUUGGAGGCAUUUGAAUGUGUUCGGCUUUGGUAGUUGUAUAUUUUUUUGUUUGAUUAUAUUUCAAUAGUUGUUAGGUGAAAUUUUUAUUGUUGUUAUUUGUCUUUUAUUUAUUUGGAGGCUAUGAAAUUCUUUUUGUAGACUAGGAUUAGAUACCCUAUUAUUUUAGAAUGUUAAUUUUUGUUUGCUUGAGUAGUAUUAGUUAUGUUCUUGAAACUUAAAGAAUUUGGCGGUAUCUCAUUCCGUUCAGAGGAAUCUGUCUCGUUAUCGAUAGUCCGCGUUGGACCUUACUUAGUUGCUUUGGUUUGUAUACCGCCGUUUAUUGAUUAUCUUUUUAGAGGUUUUAAUUUUCUUUAUUUUUUAUUUUGAUUUAUUUCAGGUCAAGGUGCAGCUUGUUUCUAAGUGAAUGAUGGAUUACAUUAUUAUUUGUUUUUGGAUUGUUUUAUUUGAAUUUGGGCAUGAAAUUGGAUUUGGUUGUAAUAAUUUGUAGAUUGUUAUUAUGAUAAUUGGUUCUGAGAUAUGCACACAUCGCCCGUCGCUCUCGUUUAUUAAUGAGAUAAGUCGUAACAAAGUGGUUGUACCGGAAGGUGCGGCUGGAUUGAU
Molecule: non-coding RNA, 800 nt
Filed under: Prohamitermes mirabilis
Lineage: Eukaryota; Metazoa; Arthropoda; Insecta; Blattodea; Termitidae
Source: RNAcentral